This 451-nucleotide ribosomal RNA is filed under the name uncultured bacterium. Its description in RNAcentral is "SSU rRNA". It matches the Rfam family "Bacterial small subunit ribosomal RNA", at positions 26 to 518 of the family's 1533-position model. The record is from RNAcentral.
AGAACGAACGCUGGCGGCAGGCCUAAUACAUGCAAGUCGAACGCACUCUUCGGAGUGAGUGGCAGACGGGUGAGUAACGCGUGGGAACCUUCCCAAUGGUACGGAAUAACUCCGGGAAACCGGUGCUAAUACCGUAUAAGCCCCUCGGGGGAAAGAUUUAUCGCCAUUGGAUGGGCCCGCGUCGGAUUAGCUAGUUGGUAAGGUAAUGGCUUACCAAGGCUACGAUCCGUAGCUGGUCUGAGAGGAUGAUCAGCCACACUGGGACUGAGACACGGCCCAGACUCCUACGGGAGGCAGCAGUGGGGAAUAUUGGACAAUGGGCGAAAGCCUGAUCCAGCAACGCCGCGUGAGGGAUGACGGCCUUCGGGUUGUAAACCUCUUUCAGCGCAGACGAAGCGAAAGUGACGGUAUGCGCAGAAGAAGCACCGGCCAACUACGUGCCAGCAGCCGC